Molecule: ribosomal RNA, 478 nt
Filed under: uncultured bacterium
Lineage: Bacteria
Description: partial 16S ribosomal RNA
Rfam family: Bacterial small subunit ribosomal RNA
Source: RNAcentral
GACGAACGCUGGCGGCGUGCUUAACACAUGCAAGUCGAACGGUAAGGCCCUUCGGGGUACACGAGUGGCGAACGGGUGAGUAACACGUGUGUGAUCUGCCCUGCACUUCGGGAUAAGCCUGGGAAACUGGGUCUAAUACCGGAUAGGACCACUGCCUGCAUGGGUGGUGGUGGAAAGCUUUUGCGGUGUAGGAUGGGCCCGCGGCCUAUCAGCUUGGUGGUGGGGUGAUGGCCUACCAAGGCGACGACGGGUAGCCGGCCUGGGAGGGUGACCGGCCACACUGGGACUGAGAUACGGCCCAGACUCCUACGGGAGGCAGCAGUGGGGAAUAUUGCACAAUGGGCGCAAGCCUGAUGCAGCGACGCCGCGUGAGGGAUGACGGCCUUCGGGUUGUAAACCUCUUUCAGCACCGACGAAGCGCAAGUGACGGUAGGUGCAGAAGAAGGACCGGCCAACUACGUGCCAGCCGCCGCCGUAA